AUGGCCACCAGGAUGGGCAUGCAGUCGGAGGAGAUAACCUGCACCGGCGUCGAUGAGGCGGAGCGAAGAACGGAGGCGAUGCCGGGAUGCGCCGGCUCGAUGCGCCUGGUGCGUCGUCCCUCCCGCAAAGGCCGCUUGGAGAUGUGCGCUCUUGGGGCAGGAGGGAGCAGCAGCGUCACAUGGGUAGCAGGGGCGGGCGGUGUCGCGAGGUGGAUGGUUCAGGGGACGUGGCGGCGCAAGCGCCGGGGCAGUGCAGAUUUCGGCGUGGCCGCACGGGUGCCGGGGCAAGCUCUAUCUCCUGGAUAUCGCAGGACCAAUGUCACGCUGUGA
This 330-nucleotide ribosomal RNA is filed under the name Triticum aestivum (bread wheat). RNAcentral describes it as "partial small subunit ribosomal RNA". Lineage: Eukaryota; Viridiplantae; Streptophyta; Magnoliopsida; Poales; Poaceae. The record is from RNAcentral.